ACACAUGCAGUCGAGCGGUAGAGAGAAGCUUGCUUCUCUUGAGAGCGGCGGACGGGUGAGUAAUGCCUAGGAAUCUGCCUAGUGGUGGGGGAUAACGUUCGGAAACGGACGCUAAUACCGCAUACGUCCUACGGGAGAAAGCGGGGGACCUUCGGGCCUCGCGCCAUUAGAUGAGCCUAGGUCGGAUUAGCUAGUUGGUGAGGUAAAGGCUCACCAACGCGACGAUCCGUAACUGGUCUGAGAGGAUGAUCAGUCACACUGGAACUGAGACACGGUCCAGACUCCUACGGGAGGCAGCAGUGGGGAAUAUUGGACAAUGGGCGAAAGCCUGAUCCAGCCAUGCCGCGUGUGUGAAGAAGGUCUUCGGAUUGUAAAGCACUUUAAGUUGGGAGGAAGGGUAGUAACUUAAUACGUUGCUACUUUGACGUUACCGACAGAAUAAGCACCGGCUAACUUCGUGCCAGCAGCCGCGGUAAUACGAAGGGUGCAAGCGUUAAUCGGAAUUACUGGGCGUAAAGCGCGCGUAGGUGGUUUGUUAAGUUGGAUGUGAAAUCCCCGGGCUCAACCUGGGAACUGCAUCCAAAACUGGCAAGCUAGAGUAUGGUAGAGGGUGGGGGGAAUUUCCUGUGUAGCGGUGAAAUGCGUAGAUAUAGGCAGGAACACCAGUGGCGAAAGCGACCACCUGGACUGAUACUGACACUGAG
RNAcentral lists this ribosomal RNA (704 nucleotides) under uncultured bacterium. Its description in RNAcentral is "bacterial SSU rRNA". It matches the Rfam family "Bacterial small subunit ribosomal RNA", at positions 51 to 750 of the family's 1533-position model. The record is from RNAcentral.